RNAcentral lists this ribosomal RNA (468 nucleotides) under uncultured bacterium. Its description in RNAcentral is "partial 16S ribosomal RNA". It matches the Rfam family "Bacterial small subunit ribosomal RNA", at positions 28 to 507 of the family's 1533-position model. The record is from RNAcentral.
GACGAACGCUGGCGGCGUGCUUAACACAUGCAAGUCGAACGGAAAGGCCCUGCUUUUGUGGGGUGCUCGAGUGGCGAACGGGUGAGUAACACGUGAGUAACCUGCCCUUGACUUUGGGAUAACUUCAGGAAACUGGGGCUAAUACCGGAUAGGAGCUCCUGCUGCAUGGUGGGGGUUGGAAAGUUUCGGCGGUUGGGGAUGGACUCGCGGCUUAUCAGCUUGUUGGUGGGGUAGUGGCUUACCAAGGCUUUGACGGGUAGCCGGCCUGAGAGGGUGACCGGCCACAUUGGGAAUGAGAUACGGCCCAGACUCCUACGGGAGGCAGCAGUGGGGAAUAUUGCACAGUGGGCGGAAGCCUGAUGCAGAAACGCCGCGUGCGGGAUGACGGCCUUCGGGUUGUAAACCGCUUUCGCCUGUGACGAAGCGUGAGUGACGGUAAUGGGUAAAGAAGCACCGGCUAACUACGUG